RNAcentral lists this small nuclear RNA (331 nucleotides) under Rhinopithecus bieti (black snub-nosed monkey). Its description in RNAcentral is "7SK RNA (ENSRBIG00000007333.1)". It matches the Rfam family "7SK RNA". From Rfam's summary of the family: 7SK was discovered as an abundant small nuclear RNA in the mid-70s but a possible function has only recently been suggested. Two independent studies have found that 7SK RNA binds the CDK9/cyclin T complex (known as elongation factor P-TEFb). Lineage: Eukaryota; Metazoa; Chordata; Mammalia; Primates; Cercopithecidae. The record is from Rfam by way of RNAcentral.
AGAUAUGAGGGCAAUCUGACUGUGACAUCUGUCACUCUAUUGAUCGCCAGGGUUGAUUCGGCUGAUCUGUCUAGCUAGGCAGGAGUCCCCUUCCUCCCUCACCACUCCAUGUGCUUCCCUCUCGAAGCUGUGCACUCAGGGAAAGAGGAUCAUCCUCAAUAGAGGAAGGCCAGUCUUCAGUCAAGGGUAUACAAGUAGCUGCACUCCUCUGCUAGAACCUCCAAACAAGCUCUCAAGAUCCAUUGGUAAAAGAACCUAGUAGGGUAGUCAAGCUUCCAAGACUCCAGACACAUCUGAAUGAGUUGCUGCAUGUGGCAGUCUGCCUUUCUUU